This 1397-nucleotide ribosomal RNA is filed under the name uncultured Bordetella sp. Its description in RNAcentral is "partial 16S-23S ribosomal RNA intergenic spacer". It matches the Rfam family "Bacterial small subunit ribosomal RNA". Lineage: Bacteria; Pseudomonadati; Pseudomonadota; Betaproteobacteria; Burkholderiales; Alcaligenaceae. The record is from RNAcentral.
UUGAUCUGGCUCAGAUUGAACGCUGGCGGGAUGCUUUACACAUACAAGUCGAACGGCAGCGGACUUCCCAGUCUGGUGGCGAGUAGCGAACGGGUGAGGUAAUGCUGUCGGAACGUGCCUAAAGUAGCAGUGCUAAAGCGUAACUAAUACAUACGCCUUCGGGGAAAGCGGGGGACCUUCGGGCCUCGCACUAUUAAGCAGCCGAUAUCGGAUUAGCUAGUUGGUGGGGUAACGGCUCACCGAGCGGCGAUCCUUCAUGGUUUAGAGGAGACGACCAGCCACACUGGGACUGGGAACGGCCCAGACUCCUGCAGGAGGCGGCAGUGAAAUUUGGAUAAUGAAACCUGAUCAGCCAUCCACGUGUGCGAUGAAGGCCUUCAGGUUGUAAAGCACUUUUGAAAAAGCAACUGCGGGAUAAUACCCGAUGCAACUGACAGUACCUGCAGAAUAAGCACCGGCUAACUACGUGCCAGCAGCCGCAGUAACGUAAAGUGCAAGCGUUAAUCGAAUUACUGGGCGUAAGCGUGCGCAGGCGGACGGAAAGAAAAGUCGUAAAUCAGAGGCUUAACUGGAACUGCAUUUUAACUGAGCUGAAGUGUCAGAGGAGGUGAAUUCCGCGUGUAGCAGUGAAGUACGUAGAUAUGCGAGGAACACCGAUGGCGAGGCAGCCUCCUGGGAUAACACUGACGCUCUGUGCACGAAAGCGUUAGAGGGAACAAGUUAAAAUGCCUGAUGGCGUCACGCCUAAACGAUGUCAACUGGCUGUUGGACCUUCGGGCCUUGGUAGCGCAAUAACAUGAAGUUGACUUAUGGGAAAUGCGGUCGCGGGUGCUUCAAGGAAUUGACGGAGACCGCAGCGGUGGAUGAUGUGGAUUAAUUCGAUGCAGCACUUGAAAAACCUUACCUGCCCUUGACAUGUCUGGAAUCCCGAAGAGAUUUAGGGUGCUCACCAGAGAACGGAACACAGGUGCUGCAUGGCUGUCGUCAGCUCGUGUCGUGAGAUGUUGGGUUAAGUCCGCAGCUUGAGGCGCAACCCUUGUCGUGGUUGCACCACGAAAGGGCCUCCUAAUGAGACUGCCGGUGACCGGAGGAAGGUGGGGAUGACGUCAAGUCCUCCAUGGCUGGGUGGGCUUCACACGUCAUACAAUGGGUCGGGACAGGGGUCGCCAACCGCGAGGGGAACUGACUCAGAAACCCGAUCGUAGUCCGGAUCGCAGUCUGCAACUCGACUGCGUGGUGAAUCGCUAGUAAUCGCGGAUCAGCAUGUCGCGGUGAAUGGUUCUUGGUCUUGUACACACCGCCCGUCACACCGUGAUUGGGUUUUGCAAGUAGUUAGCUAAUACGCCAAGGAGGGCGAUUACGGUAGGAUUCGCAUUGGGGUGAAGUCAACAAGGUAG